CUAUGUUGGUACUCAUUGACUUUCAGAAACUGUUACCAAAAAUCUCCCUUAAUACUUUUCCCUUUUGAACUUUUUGAAUUCCCUUUCCCAACACAAGACAAAAUAAGAGUUGACUUGCAUAAUGUAAUUCACAAAAUAAUCGUUUUCCCCAUUACUUUGUUUUGGUGAUCGUUGGGAGCCAAAAUCAUGAUCAAAAUGUGAUUAAUUGCACAGCCCUAUAUCACCGCCCUGGUUCUGGCAUGCUCUUGACAACGCUUCCAUUGUGUUUUUGUGUUGUCAUUCAGACAGAGAUUGGUUUUUUAAACCGUGCUUGUGUGGACCAGAUUUUUUUUUUUAGAACUAAAGGAGGGAAAAAACCCUGUUUCCAAAAAUACCCGUGUAAAUGUGUACUAGGCCUCAGAUCACCUUUGCAGGAGUCUGAAUCAGAACAGUGAACAGCAGAGAGCAGUGAAAACACACUGACACAAAGAUGGCCGUACAGUCAUAAAGCUCCUCCUUCCUCAUUACAAACAUGCAGUAAAAAGGAUGAUGUCACAACAAUGUAUUUUCAUUCAUGCCUUUGCCUAUCUCUGUAUUAGUCACAGUUCAGACGUGAGCCACCACAGUGAAUAUUAUGACUAAAAUGUUUGCCAUUUUGUUUUUGUCUCUGUCUUCUCUAACAGACACUGUGAUGUCGUCGCUUACGAUCCAACAAUCGCCUCCUCUGAUAACACCUGAGCGAGAAGAAGCCCGUCUUGACUGUUACCAUGGAGACAACAACUACCCCUACAUGCUUUGGUACCGGCACAAGUCAGCAGCAGGAGGCCAGAGGGACCUGGAGCUGAUCGGUGUGCUUCAUUACGAAAAAACAAACUUUGAGGAGAACUUUGAAGCACGUUUCAACAUGACGGGCCACUCAAAGGGCCGAGCUCAGCUCGUCAUCUCCAACACAAACCCAGCAGACAGUGCAGAGUAUUUCUGUGCAGCUAGUUAGCACAGUGUUUCAACUCAUCUGGCUCCUUUACAAAUAGCUGGUGGCCCACAGCAACACGCACCUGCAGCAGACCUAAUCUGCCUCGAUAAAGACAGCGGCAUACUUCAGCUGUUGUUUUCUUUCCCUGCUGAGAGGACUAACAAAAGGUUUUAAAAAAUGAUGGAUGAAUCAAACAAAAAACGGACUAUACAUGCACAUGGUGUGCACAAAAACAUCGCAAACACAACUGCUCCAUUCUUCCUUCCGUAUCUCUUUGGUCAUUGUAAUACUGCA
This is a non-coding RNA of Etheostoma spectabile (orangethroat darter), 1246 nucleotides long. The record is from the annotation of a RefSeq genome assembly. Lineage: Eukaryota; Metazoa; Chordata; Actinopteri; Perciformes; Percidae.